Molecule: ribosomal RNA, 253 nt
Filed under: uncultured bacterium
Lineage: Bacteria
Description: partial 16S ribosomal RNA
Rfam family: Bacterial small subunit ribosomal RNA
Source: RNAcentral
GACAGAGGGUGCAAACGUUGCUCGGAAUCACUGGGCGUAAAGGGCGUGUAGGCGGGAAUGUAAGUCGGGCGUGAAAUCCCUAGGCUCAACCUAGGAACUGCGUCUGAUACUGGAUGGCUUGAAUCCGGGAGAGGGAUGCAGAAUUCCAGGUGUAGCGGUGAAAUGCGUAGAUAUCUGGAGGAAUACCGGUGGCGAAGGCGGCAUCCUGGACCGGCAUUGACGCUGAGGAGCGAAAGCCAGGGGAGCAAACGGG